Molecule: non-coding RNA, 2716 nt
Organism: Agelaius phoeniceus (red-winged blackbird)
Lineage: Eukaryota; Metazoa; Chordata; Aves; Passeriformes; Icteridae
Source: RefSeq, a predicted model, not a curated record
UCCAACAGUCUCAUUUUUGGCUUGACUUGUAUGUAAUGCAAACAGUUUCCAAAGUAAAUUUUACAAAAUGAAGUAUUAGUCCAUUAGUGACAGGAUCCUUCAUCUUUGCAUUUGAGUAGAAGGAAAUUAUAUCCAAUAUCAUAAUAAGAUAUUAAAGCAUCACCUUUUGCUUCAGGCAACUAAGAAUAUGAUUAUCCUAUGUAGUUUGAUGGUCUCUGUCAUGGGAAUGAAAAAUAUUUUCAUGAGGUGACAGAAAGAUGACACUGUCCCCAUUAUUAUCUGUUGUGUUGGCUGGUGGAUAAGAAGACUUUCAAGAAGGGAGAAGAUAAAACUGUUUAUUAUGCACACAACAGGAUUAGGAGAAAGAAAACAGACAGAUUACUGCCCUCCAAUCUGGUUCCUACAACUGCAUUGAAAACUCAACAUCUUGGGAACCACAUCUUUAGACAGGAAUGUAUCAUCCUGUGUGUUGGCUCUCAGGGCAGUCCUUUCAGUUCUGUACCUUCUGCUCCUUCCACCUGCACUCUGCAGCAGUGUGGCUCAUUGUGCCUGAGGAGAGCUUGAACACAAACCCAGCCUGGCAGCCUCUGGAAGCUUUUGUUGUUUUGUUUUACUGAGGUGUAAUAAUCUGCUAUGGGCCUGAGUUUUAUUAUUUUAAGGACAGUCAAUCAUCAUCAAUGUUACUGUCUGAUAAUCCAGGGGAUACCUCACUCUGUGAAUGCCCAGAUAAAUCACACCUCUGGCCUACAGGUAAAAUUUUGAUUCAGUAGGCAUCAAAAUACAAAAGAAAGCUUCAAUUACAUCACAACCAAACUUCAAGCAUUGCUCAAUGUGUCUUAUACUUCCAUUUAUCUGUACACUGGAGCUCACCCCAAAUGCCCCAAGAUCUCAUCUGUGUCAAGAGGUCUCAUCUCUUCUGAGUCAGAAUUACCAUUUCUGUGUGAAUUAUGGCAUAUGCAGAGAACUUGGCCCAUAGAGGGAAAGGAUAAACAUUAACUGAAUUAGAACUACAGGGAGGCAGCACAGCAGAAUUUACUAAUUAGUUUGAGGUCUAGCUGGAGUACUUUGUUUCUGGAUAGCCAAUAUUUUGGAGAAAAAAUAUUAUUGUUCCUUGGAAAGUUUGUGGAAGAAAUAUGCCUAAUUGAAAGAAAGAACCUCAUUGAAAAUAUUUCAGCAGCAGUCCUCCAAAAUAAACACUGACCAGGACUCUGAGUAUCUUGCUUCCCAAGAGAACUGUUUGGCAGCCCAGGAACACAGUGCACAUAAAUGUAAGCACCUCUUGUUUACUGAGAGGCUUUGUCUUCUGUGGAACAGAAUGCACAGAUUUACAAAGAAUUACAAAUUUAUGAAAUAGCACAUAACGCAACAUCAACAACAAAAAAUCUGUUUACCUUUAUUUCCAGCAGAUGUGCUGCAGACACCCUGCAGAACCUGCACUGCUUCCAUGCCUGGCUGUGUGUUUUGGAGGCUCAUCCCAGAAGAUCUUAUAAACUCACUGUAGCUUUCUUUCCCCACCACUGAUCCAAGAGAAACAAAACCUAUUAUUCAGUGUGGAAACCUCCACACCAGACUGAAAUCCCACAUGCUUCCCUAUGCAUUUAUCUGCAUAUGAACCAUCUGGUGUCCAAUAAGACUUUCCUUGUCUCAGGCAUUAGGUUUGCUUAUCUGCAUUUCACCUGGGAGCUCAGGCUGUGAAAGGCAAUUUGUAGAGCUGAAAGCACCCAACUGUUUCCAAUGAUCCAGCUGUCCAUAAUGGAGCUGUCACCUGGAGAGUGCCUGCUCACGUGCACAGCACACCACACACCAUCCUCCUGGUGUGGUCUCACACUGACACAGCCUCUGUGACACCCAGGGCGUGGGGCUGGGCUGCAAAUGGCCCACACAGCCAAAAAGUGUUCUGUGCAGAAGCCUAGAUCCCAAGUCAAGCUCUGUAGAGUGAAAGAACAUCCUGCCUUGGUGAUGGAAAGGCACUUUGCUAUCCCCACUGGGACCCCUUCUUCUGCAACCAGUCCCAGUUCAGCUGAAGAACCCUUUAGCCCUGAGGGAAGUUAACAGCUCUGGACAUUCCCAAUCUCCUAGAAUAAGGAACCAUGUCACUCUUGCAUGGCAGAAGCAUGAGUGAAGCAUCCAUUUCUGGCUGACAAUGACAAGGCCACCUGCCUAGGGCACUGAUGGGAACCCUUUUCCCACCCAUCAUUCCUUGCAGUCUGGCAAAUGCAAGUUCAUUUCCUGCACUCCAGGUUCUUCUCCCUAGACUCAGUCCCCAUUCAGACUGAGGCAGACUUCUUUUAUGAUGCUGAGACUUUGUUAAACUCAAAUGGCUCCCAAAGCCAAGUCUUCAGGAACAUAUUAAAUGUCAUGAUACUUUCAUUUGGCCUUGAUAUCAUGAAGCUGUCACCAUAACAAGCCUUGGGUGUUGUCAGUCUCUGCCAUCAAGUUGUUAAGGGACAAGCAUCAGCAAGGGACACCAUGUGGGAGCCAUGGGCAGCCAGAGGUUAAUGCACUGUGGCUGCUUUCCCCAACACUUCCCUUCUUGAGGAGCAGUGGUAUUGUGGUGGAUUGAUAUUGGUGGUGGGUAAAUGUAAUAAAAUGUUUGUGCAGCAGGGCGUGAUUUCUCACCUUUAUUUCCUGAAAACUUGAUGGGAAAGUCUUUAUAAAUAAUUCUGGCUUUGUCAAUUGAAAAUAUGGAUUAAAAUUUACUAUAUAUGUUUUCAAA